UUUUUAAAUGAAGCAUGCAAUGCCAUAAUGUUGUAAAUGCCAUUUUUCUCUAAAUAUGUUUUAUUGAAGAAAUUAAUUCUGAAUACAAUGUUUUCUGCUGCAAAAAAUUAUUAUGGCAGUAGUGGUUAUAUUUUGAAGUUGAAUUUAUGUGCAAGCCAUAAUGUUUUAAGUACCAAAGUGCAAGUCAUGUCACUUUUGAUGCUUAAGAUGUUACUGCUUAUACUUACAUCAUUUUGUUACUCCAGAGAACUUGUAACCUAAUGUGCUUUUUACCAUUUUAUUGUAAAAUUGAAAUGAAUUUGUUUAAGAGUUGAAGGAAUUUAUUCACUAGCAAAAGUGUUUAUCUUUCUUUAAAAGUUUGUUUUUUGGCAUUUACAGCAUUAUGACAUUGCACAGUUUAUUAAUUUGCAAAUUUUCUAUGUGAGAAAUGAGUGAAUAUUUCAUUUUAAUUUGAGUCUGCAUGAAAUUUCACCCAUUAUGUAGUGUCAAAAAGAGUUUUAAGAUAAAAAUGAAAUGAGUGAUUGAAUUCAUCAUAAACUAAAUAAAUGUUUCAGUUCCAAUUUUAAAACACAAGAUUCCUGUAUUUCAGUAAUUUUGCCAAUAUAUUGUUGUUACAUCCAUAUUUUUUAUACUGCAUUUUUUAUAUUUCUCCAGGACUAUUUUAAUUUCCUCUAAAUGUCAUUCACAAGAUCAAACAUUCUGCUUCCCUGUUGGUCCCUACUCCUAUAAAUGAAUGUUAUUUUUAUUUACAAAAAACAAAAUCUUUAGGGAUAUCAACUUCAUGAAGAAGACACCUCCUUAACAUAAAAUUUUUAUGUUAAGAAGGUGUAAUCUAUCUAAUACUUCUUAAUACAAAAGAAAACAGUUUCAUGGGAUUGAAUGGAAAUAGUGAAGGCCUAAGUGAUGGGAAUAACUUACAAACAGCCAAAACUAUACAGAUCUUAAAAUCCUAUAUGAUUAACCAGGAACUUUCUGCUAGUUUCCCAGUGGUUUGAAAAUGGCAUCUACAUUUUGAUAAUCAAUCAUUGCAUUAAUUUUAAUAUUUCUCUGUUAUCUAUUAUUAACUAAUUUUUCAUGUUUAUUAUUUUAAAUUGUUUAAUCUGUAAUGUUAUUCAUUUUUAUGUAACUUUAUUAUGUCAUCUUUAUCAUUGAGGAUGCAUUUUUUUCCCUGCUUUAAUGGUAAUAGAAUUUUUUUGUAGUUUCUGAAGCAUAGGCCUCAAAAACUUCAUGAGCUGUGCCAUCCAAAGGCAAAAGGUUCUAUCUUCAAAAAACUGAAAAUCAAGUUCCACACUUCAUGCCUAAUUACAGACUCAACGUCUCUAAAAGAACAGUGAUAUGCUCUGUACUUGUAGAAAAUCUACUGAAUGAUGAAUUACAGUUGACUAAAGAGGGGCAGUGCCCGAAACAUGUUAUUGUACUUGUAACCGUAUCAACUAAAUAAAGAUGGAAUAUCGCCAAGUGUUGAAAUAGAAACACACCUUGUGUUAGUGAAUCAAAAAAAAAAGCAUAUAUAUUUAAAUGUAAAAAAGGAAAUUAAAAGAAGCCUAUAUUCUGAGGGAAAUUGAGGACAUGCAAGUUGACGAAGAACUGAGAAGACUUAAAAUGAAUGUUAAAUUAAAGGUGUUUUACCUAGAAAUUGUGUGAUUUACUUCUCUCAUUAUAACAAGUUCCAGUUCACAAGAAAGUUCAAAGUGGACAAAGACAUAAUAUAUUAAGUGCCCUUUUACUUUAUGCUCUUUAUCAUAAAAAUGAAAAUCCUUUUUGUAUUUCUUGUGGUUAGUGACAACAGAUACUAAUGUAGGUUCUUGUGGUUAGUGAGAACAGAUACUAAUGUAGGUCUUUUAUAAAAGUGAAGUGGUGUAACAUAAGAGAUACCUAUAUGAUUUAAUAUUGUUAUUUUUUUAAUUUAUAAAAUAUAAAUAUUUGUAAUAAAAUUUUACGUUGUACCAUAAGUUAUUAAAACUAAAAUCAAUGGAUUUAAGUUAGUUAAUGUUACUCUGUAACUAAUCAUUCGACUCAUAGAAUAUGAAUUAAAAACAAGUAUAUUUUUAUAUUUUCUUUAUUUAUUUCAAACAAAUUAGUGUAUCUUAAGAGAAGUAUUAUAAAAAAAUAGAAAGGUGGUAAAAAUUAGCAUUUGCACUUUUGGCAGAUGUUAAAAGUGUGCUUUCCACAAAUAGCCAUGUUGUAGUAGUUGCAUACGUACUGUGUCAUUUGCAUUUCUUAGAUGGACAAAAAGUACAAAUUCUGCAUCUAUUUGCUGCACUUUUAGCCAUGUCUUCUGUGGGCUUUCCAAUAUUCAGAAUAUCUUCAAUAUUUAUUUUGAU
Long non-coding RNA from Centruroides sculpturatus (bark scorpion), 2324 nucleotides. RefSeq lists it as uncharacterized. The record is from RefSeq and is a predicted model, not a curated record. The transcript is spliced from 3 exons. Lineage: Eukaryota; Metazoa; Arthropoda; Arachnida; Scorpiones; Buthidae.